GUUUAUACAACAUGGAGAGUUUGAUCCUGGCUCAGGAUGAACGCUGGCGGUCUGCUUAACACAUGCAAGUCGAACGGAACUCUUCGGAGUUUAGUGGCGGACGGGUGAGUAACGCGUGAGAAUCUGCCUUCAGGUUGGGGACAACAGUUGGAAACGACUGCUAAUACCCAAUGUGCCGAGAGGUGAAAGCUUUAGUGCCUGAAGAUGAGCUCGCGUCUGAUUAGCUAGUUGGAAGUGUAAUGGACUCCCAAGGCGACGAUCAGUAGCUGGUCUGAGAGGACGAUCAGCCACACUGGGACUGAGACACGGCCCAGACUCCUACGGGAGGCAGCAGUGGGGAAUCUUGCGCAAUGCACGACAGUGUGACGCAGCAACGCCGCGUGGGGGAAGAAGGCUUUCGGGUCGUAAACCCCUUUCAGGAGGGACGAAGCUCCGGUAGCGAAUAGCUGUCCGGAGUGACGGUACCUCCACAAGAAGCCCCGGCUAACUACGUGCCAGCAGCC
RNAcentral lists this ribosomal RNA (503 nucleotides) under Leptolyngbya sp. ES-bin-22. Its description in RNAcentral is "bacterial SSU rRNA". It matches the Rfam family "Bacterial small subunit ribosomal RNA", at positions 1 to 516 of the family's 1533-position model. Lineage: Bacteria; Bacillati; Cyanobacteriota; Cyanophyceae; Leptolyngbyales; Leptolyngbyaceae. The record is from RNAcentral.